Hypanus sabinus (Atlantic stingray) is the source of this 277-nucleotide long non-coding RNA. RefSeq lists it as uncharacterized. The record is from RefSeq and is a predicted model, not a curated record. The transcript is spliced from 3 exons. NCBI's taxonomy places the organism in Eukaryota, Metazoa, Chordata, Chondrichthyes, Myliobatiformes, Dasyatidae.
CGAGCAAGGGACGAAGCACAGUCUUGCAGUGCACCUGUGCUGAUGGAGAUUGUGGAGGAGAUGUCGUUGCCAAUCCGAACUGUUUGGGGUCUACAAGUGAGGAAAUCGAGGAUCGAGUUGCACAAGGAGGAAAUAAACAUCAGACCACAUCUUAAUACAGAACCAUGAUGCCACCUCAUAACACCACCUUCACCUGAGUGUGAUAAGAUAAUCAACCCGAUCCUGCCUUCACCUGAUGUUCAAAUGUUUAAAUGCACCUUUAAGUGGUUGAAAGGAC